UCAGCUACAGCCAGGUUGAUGAUGUAAUAGUGGGUGACACUCUGGAGGUGUCUGUGGCAGGCUACGGACAGGAUAACCAGGAUAUUACCCAAAACCCCAAAAACAAUCAGCCCCCCUAGAAUAACACCCAGUAAGAUGGCCUUGGACAUGUUCACGGGCUCCACAGAGUGGGUGCAGUUGGAACACUCGGAGGAGUUUCCAGAGAGGAAAGCCAUGGCUGAUGGAACAAGUUGAGGAAUAAUCCCAAGGAAGAAAAGGACAUAUUAUCUAAGCACAUACAUGAAAAUUGAGUGUUGCAUCGA
Long non-coding RNA from Passer domesticus (house sparrow), 302 nucleotides. RefSeq lists it as uncharacterized. The transcript is spliced from 2 exons. The record is from RefSeq and is a predicted model, not a curated record. Lineage: Eukaryota; Metazoa; Chordata; Aves; Passeriformes; Passeridae.